This 495-nucleotide ribosomal RNA is filed under the name uncultured bacterium. Its description in RNAcentral is "partial 16S ribosomal RNA". It matches the Rfam family "Bacterial small subunit ribosomal RNA", at positions 29 to 506 of the family's 1533-position model. The record is from RNAcentral.
AUGAACGCUGGCGGCGUGCCUAAUACAUGCAAGUCGAGCGAACGGACGAGAAGCUUGCUUCUCUGAUGUUAGCGGCGGACGGGUGAGUAACACGUGGAUAACCUACCUAUAAGACUGGGAUAACUUCGGGAAACCGGAGCUAAUACCGGAUAAUAUUUUGAACCGCAUGGUUCAAAAGUGAAAGACGGUCUUGCUGUCACUUAUAGAUGGAUCCGCGCUGCAUUAGCUAGUUGGUAAGGUAACGGCUUACCAAGGCAACGAUGCAUAGCCGACCUGAGAGGGUGAUCGGCCACACUGGAACUGAGACACGGUCCAGACUCCUACGGGAGGCAGCAGUAGGGAAUCUUCCGCAAUGGGUGAAAGCCUGACGGAGCAACGCCGCGUGAGUGAUGAAGGUCUUCGGAUCGUAAAACUCUGUUAUUAGGGAAGAACAUAUGUGUAAGUAACUGUGCACAUCUUGACGGUACCUAAUCAGAAAGCCACGGCGAACUACGU